UACGUAGGGUGCGAGCGUUGUCCGGAAUUAUUGGGCGUAAAGGGCUCGUAGGCGGUCUGUUGCGUCAGGAGUGAAAACUCGGGGCUUAACCCCGAGCCUGCUUCUGAUACGGGCAGACUAGAGGUAUGCAGGGGAGAACGGAGUUCCUGGUGUAGCGGUGAAAUGCGCAGAUAUCAGGAGGAACACCGGUGGCGAAGGCGGUUCUCUGGGCAUUACCUGACGCUGAGGAGCGAAAGUGUGGGGAGCGAACAGG
This 253-nucleotide ribosomal RNA is filed under the name uncultured bacterium. RNAcentral describes it as "partial 16S ribosomal RNA". It matches the Rfam family "Bacterial small subunit ribosomal RNA", at positions 524 to 776 of the family's 1533-position model. The record is from RNAcentral.